Molecule: long non-coding RNA, 1187 nt
Organism: Stegostoma tigrinum
Lineage: Eukaryota; Metazoa; Chordata; Chondrichthyes; Orectolobiformes; Stegostomatidae
Exons: 3
Source: RefSeq, a predicted model, not a curated record
AACGUCACAUUAAAACUGUACUUCGAUGGCACCUGUAGUGUUUUUGGUCCAUGCGCUGUCAAUGCCAAAUGUUGUUCGGGCGAGAAAAUCUUUACACGGUUAGAGUGUUCAAGACAAUAAGAUUAGACUUUUGACUCCGAUUCAAAACUGCUACAAACUUACAAUGCUGAUGUGAUGUGAACAUGAGUACAUACAGCCAUUCAACAAGUCCGAAAUAAGAUUCAAAUUGCUGUCGAGGAACUGAAAAUCCAUGCCAGAGAUCACUAGAUCGUCGUGGCCACCUUUCUUCGAAGAAGUCAGCAGUGCUGCCAUUACUUUGCUAUUGAGUACAAAUCCAGUUUAUUCUCAUCUCACAUUUUCAGCAACUUUCCACACAAAAACGAUUUACAAAGGUAAUUGGGAAGAACAAGUUAAUUUCUUCGCUAUUGAAAAUUAUGCCACAACACUUUUGGCUUAAAAAUUCUACAAUGUAAGUGUAAAUAAAAAUUGUGCAGUAAAAUUCACUGCUUGGAUGAUUUAAAGCAUUUAUUCACAAUUCACUACAUUAAAUCCCACUGGACCCACCUACAGAAUGAUUUAGAUCUUGACUGUCUUUAUGCUUUAAUUUGAUGUUACAUCUUUUUAAUCAUUUCAAACAUUACCUUUUGUGUUCUUCCUCAGUCAUAUUGCUCAAAAGUAAAUCCUUGACUACAUAUGUGUUGUCCAGCCAUUCUAUCAAACCAAGUCUUAAAGAGGAAAAAAAAAAUUACCAUUUAGGAAAAGCAAACAAAAUGUAUAUUGUUUUGCAAUACUUCCUGCUAUAUAACAUCAACAUUAUCACUACAAUGAGGAAAGCAUUCACUGUUUAUCAUCAGUAAUGAAAUCAUAAAUGUGGUCUUUAAACUUAUAUUUAUGAUUGAUCAUAAUAUUAAAUAAAGGAAACUUCUCCCUACAAGAAAAAAAUGAUUAUGCAAGCAAUGGGAUAUUUAGCUCCUAUGCAAAAUGCUGCAUGUUUAAGUCCUAAUGCUGCUGGUUGCAACUGAAAUCUGCUGAAUGAGUAGUUUUACUGCUAUUCUAUGGAUCACUACGUCAAACCGGGACAUGGCAAAUAUGAUCUACCUCUCAUUGAACACGAACUUCAGUAUGUUAAAGACUGCUCUAGUUGCCUUAACUAAAGAGAAUUGGUGAUGAAAGACUUUUGUAAAGGG